UACUUAUUUAGAGAGGUGGAGGGACUGGCCCUAUGAAACCCGGCAGCGGAUCUGCUAUCCUUUGAUGCGAUGGUAGAUGCUGUGCCAAUUCCAGCAGGAGUAUUCCUGACAGAUAAGGA
RNAcentral lists this non-coding RNA (119 nucleotides) under Brevibacillus choshinensis. Its description in RNAcentral is "SAM-I sequence". It matches the Rfam family "SAM riboswitch aptamer (S box leader)". From Rfam's summary of the family: The SAM riboswitch is found upstream of a number of genes which code for proteins involved in methionine or cysteine biosynthesis in Gram-positive bacteria. The SAM riboswitch acts at the level of transcription termination control. The record is from RNAcentral. Lineage: Bacteria; Bacillati; Bacillota; Bacilli; Caryophanales; Paenibacillaceae.